Lolium perenne is the source of this 3194-nucleotide long non-coding RNA. RefSeq lists it as uncharacterized. The record is from RefSeq and is a predicted model, not a curated record. NCBI's taxonomy places the organism in Eukaryota, Viridiplantae, Streptophyta, Magnoliopsida, Poales, Poaceae.
GCCCCCUCGCUCGUCUCCUCUCCUCCUGCUACACCUCGGCAACGAGCGGACGCCCCUCUCCCCCACAUCCGGCUCCCAUCACGCGCAUGGAGGUUCAACCGAACCUUCACCACCGCUAUCUGCAGCCAUCCUCGACGUUGUUAGGCUUGCUGCACCAUCGUAGGAACCACGCCGAGGACGGAGAACACAUCUGUGCCAGGGCUGAUCUGCGGCCUCUCGGAUCCAGCGAAGCCCCCUUGGUUGGGGUUCCCAAACCACGACCCCGUCCUCCUCCAAGCCGAAUCCGGGGAGAAGCCGCCGGGCAGGAAGGAUUGGCUUGUAGAUCCAGACCAAGGCCUACAUAUGGUUGUGAUACUCCAUUAGCAAAGCAACUCCGUCCCCUCCACAUUUCAGAGGAGAAGUGCAAGCCUGCCCACUGCUACCGCCGCCGUCCUACAUGCGAGCCUGCCUGGGUUGUGACCUGCGCAACUGCCCAAAAAGGAAUUCGCUCCCAAUAUGGUGACUUUUCAAGUGACUUUCUUUAGGCUUCAGACGACCUGACACGGUUCAUGACAAAUGAUCCUCUCAAAGCGUAGCUAUGUGCAUGUAUUUUCCCUGGCAACCCAAUGGGACAGAGCUACCUAUGAUGGUUGACAUGGACUGUGCUCAGUUGAUUGCCGACAUGCUCAAUAGUGUGUUCCUCUGUUAAAGGUAAGCUAGAGAACUAGCAACCAGGGGCAUACAUUGACAUGGAGUGGAUGGCAAGACACACAGAGGAAAUGCAACGCAUCAAGGUAGCAAGAAGUUGGUGUUUUGUGCUGAUUUGCAUGUGAUUUGAUAGGUACUGACAUUUAAUUUUGCACUAAGGGUAAAUUGAUGAUUUAGCACCAUCGCUUCAUUAUUAAUUUAAGUUAAUGUCUGAAUUCAUUAUACAAUAGCUUAUUUUUGUACAUACAACAAUAGUUUAGUUCUAGGUGCUCCUUCUCUAUCUCCUGUCAAAAAGUAAACAAUUGAAGGAAGAGCUUAGAGAAUAAGGACUGACUUUCCAAUAUAAGAAAAUCAUUCAAUUAUUAACAUAGAUUAGUGUAAGCAGCUUCUUGUCAAGACGUUAUAUAGCUUAUUUUUGUAACUAUAAAUCUGUGAUAUAUUUUCUGUUAGUAGUUGUGCUUUCAGUAAGAAAGUCUGGUCAGUUGCUUCCUUACAUAGUUGUCUGCAAGCAAAACAUACUUACGGUUUCAAUAGAUUGUAUUUACAUUUUUUGGCAAAAUAUAUUUUAUUUACUUGAAUUUUUACAAUAAGUGGGAACAAAAUUCCUGCUGCCAACAUAUUCCCAGUUCAUUUACAUUGAUCAUCUCCAAUAAUAUAUAACUAAGAUGGAUUUUAUAUUCGCAAACAUGUGAAAACUUUCUUCCAAAACUCUGAGUUUGGUGUAAAUAUUGUUUCUCUUAAUGCAUCAAUUUCUUAGAGCAAAUCAUUCUCCGGUUAUAUUCCCUAACUAUUGACAAGAAUCUCCUGUACAUAUUAUCGGACCAUGAACUUGCCUAGGGAUGUCGUCCAAGUUCGAAUAUUAGAUUAGAAGCUGUCUUAUUUAUUGACGAAGGGCAUGAAAAACUUGUUCAAACUUUUGUAACACUGAUAUUGAAAUAUAACUAAAAUUUCCCUUCUAAAGUAUGUUAGAACUAACGUUUGUGCAAGAACAUUAUGGCAGGGGAGAGCAACGGGACUGAAAAAUAAAAUUGUACAUGCCAAAAUAUUCAUGUAUAUAUCCUUUUUCCAAAUUUAUAUACAAAUUUUGGCAUAUACUUGCUGUACGUUUAUUUCUUGAUCUUAUUUUCUGGUUCUUAGAACUUUCUCAUGCAUAUGUGUAUUGCGCUGCUGCCAGCUUUCACGUUCCUUGUGGCUAGAAUUGCUCAUGUACUUAUGAAGGCAUACAUAUGAUAUGUAUGUUCUAAAUGAGCAUAAGCAUCCAAAAUUUAUGUGGCUCGAAUUGCUCAUCCAUCUUACUUUUCCCUAUGACAUGAUUUCCGCAAGGAAUACAGUCAGGUACUUGGUUUCUCAGUCCGCCUCUAUUAUCUCGAUAAGCACGUUUUUCUAUUAUGCCUCCGUUUUUCUCUGCGCAUUAUUUUAGUUAGCUUUUGUAGGUUCACUAUAAUCUCAUACAUUAUAUGGCCAAGGCGUUGUCUUCGUUUCCUAUGCUCAUUUGUAGAUCCAGGUGUGCAGGCGUGAUCUACAAUAUCUUGAUGUUGAUUCUAAAAUCUUGAGUAGUGGGUAAUUAAGAAGUGGCAUCAACUCUUGAGAGAUAACAUGAUUUCUCUUGAUUUUGUAUUAUGGUUCUUAGAAUGUCACUGUGCUCUAUGCAGUUAGGCUUAUUAAGAUGUAGACACUAUUUUCUUGCGUUAGCAAUGAUUGCUUAUAUGAUUUACACAUCUUUCAGGAAUUAUUGCAAGGCCUAGCGGUGGACGCCUGGAGGAGGGUUUGGUAAAUGGCAGAGGCAUCGGAGGCUUUCUCUGUAGUGCUUUAUAAGUUCAUGGAACCUGUGGAAAAAUGGCUUAGGGCUGAGCAUCUUCAACAUUGUGCACGAGGUACAAUGUGUGUUUCUUCUGUUGCUAUGCCUGAGCAGCGAGAACAAUAUAUUUCAGCAUCUUGGGAUAGUUCUGUUUGGCAAUGGAAUACUGAAUCAGGGAAACAAACAUGGAAUAAGAUUUCACAGACGAAGGGAACCGGCAGGGGCAGCAGCGUUGUGCAGCAGCUGACUACUCUCGUUGUGCAUCGUUGCAUGGAGGUGGAGGUGGUCCUUAGGGUGGUGACGACUGACGAGCAAGGAGAAAGGGAGUGAGGUGGUGGAGGCGAGGGCGGUCGUGCUGGUCGAUUGUGCCUGCCUGUAGCCAACUGGUCUGAGUGGCACAACGGCCGUGCUAUGCAAGCACCAUAUGUGUGUCCACGUUCCUCAAUAUUUUCAUUGAUGCUCGCCCUGAUGCCUGCCUUGGUACAUGUCAUUUCUUGGUCCUACACAUAACUGAAAUUACAUAGAUGAAGCUUGUGAAUUUGUCAUGCAUUGUUUCAAUAAGACUUUGGUGCUACUUAUUUCUCUUAUUGUGAGUACAUAAAUUGUUUGUACAUAAAUUUGUGAGCGUUGCGAGCAGUACUGGAUCCCUUCCUUCAAUCUGUAUGAGCACAGAUGUGUGUCACCUUUAGUGGAAUGUUUGUUUUAUUUA